Molecule: long non-coding RNA, 1666 nt
Organism: Passer montanus (Eurasian tree sparrow)
Lineage: Eukaryota; Metazoa; Chordata; Aves; Passeriformes; Passeridae
Exons: 3
Source: RefSeq, a predicted model, not a curated record
CUGUUCCCGACACCUCUCCUGGGCGUCCUGGGGCUGGCCUAUCCGAGGCACGGUGUCUCUCUGGGCCGGAGCAGCGCGGGGCAGGCGGGGGUCUCCACUGUGAGAGCCAUUGAACAGUCUGUGCAGAGCCUGGAAUGCCCUUCUGAAGUGGGAUGACUGUUGCCAGCAAAGAGCACACUGCUUGCUGAGGGCAUAGGCUUCCAUCUGGCAAGGCAAAGCUUGGAAUGGUCCCAUCACCAACUCUGGACUUCACUGCAGCCCCAGACCCUCCAGCUAUCACUCAGCCUAGGAUAUUGCCAGCAUCCACCAACAGUCCUGGACCUGCCCGGCUUCUGUCAUGCAACCCUGGACCCUGGUGCUUCUUUCAGCUCCCUUUAGCUCCCAUCAGGACCCAGUCAGCUCCCAUCACCCAUCUCUGGACCCAGCAGGCGCCUAGGCCCCAGCCCUUAGCUCCCAGGCACUCCAAAUGUCCCAGCAUCCUCAGCACCAGAAACCUCACACAUGCAGUGUUCUGAAUCGUGCCUCAGUCUUCAUGAGCGGAAUGAUGCCCUACUCCACAGUCCAUGGAGUGCCAUCUAAUGCACCCCACACUGCAUGCAUUGCAGUGCAGAGAUGCAUUAGAAAAUGCCUCUACCACUGCAGAAACCUCAGACACACCUACUACUCAACCUGGGCACACCGCCAGUCCAACACUCCUGCCACCCACUGAGUCUCCUACUCACCCUGGAAGCUCCACAAUUCCUAUUUUGGGACACCCCCCAUGCUCUUCCCUGUCUGCUCCUGAACUUUAAUCCUUGCCCAUAGCGCUUAAACAGAAUUGGGGUGACAGCUGCUGGUGGGAUACCCCACACCUGGCCUUGUGGCUGAGCUCCCAUCAGUUGAUGAUGGAUCAAUAUGGAGUCACACUCCUGAAAAUUAAGUUAAACAAGGAAAUGGCUUUGAUGGCAUCGGAGGUGUGGAGGAUGUGGUGACUCGAGGGGAUACACUGAACCCAAAGGUCAUUGCUAGCCCCGGCAUAUGUCCCCUUGCUCUUAUAUGGCUCCCCUGGUCCCCUGUGUCUCCCCAAACUCAGCUGGCACCCCAUAUUUGAGCCACAUACAGACUUCCAAGCUUCACAGCCACUGUCAGUCCCAUAGGGUCCCCCUUGUAUGCUAUCAGAUCUCCCCGCAGCCCAUUGCAGUCCCUGAUGCCAUCCAUCCGCAUGUGGUGACAUGCAGAAUCACAAAAUAUUCUGAGUUGGAAGGAAUCCACAGAGGAUUGGUAUGUCAGUACCAUAACUGGUAUGCUAGUAAGAUUGGGGAUGAAAGGAUAUCUUCGUGCUCUUCCUUACCACCCACUGAGUCUGUUGCUGACUCUAUUGGCUGCUCUCAGAUGAUCACAGAGGAAUCCUUCCUGCUUGCCGCACUGCCUGCCCUGCCUAGGUGAACUGCUGUGCAAGCUGCCAUGCCAGGCCCUCACUGCCAUUCCAUGCCAUGCUCUGGGUUAUGCACUCCUGUUCACCUCACUUCAGGUCACUCGGACUUCCUGGAGCUGUUUAAAUUUCCCUCAGAUGCUCCUUGCACUGGCCCCUCCUCAUCUGGUGCCUGCUGAAGACUGCCAAGUCCUGGUGAGGCUUGGAGCUGAUGCUCAGGUGCUCCUGAGCUCAGAAACAACUCUAUUCAGCUCA